This 1248-nucleotide ribosomal RNA is filed under the name Escherichia coli. Its description in RNAcentral is "partial 23S ribosomal RNA". It matches the Rfam family "Bacterial large subunit ribosomal RNA", at positions 1 to 1281 of the family's 2925-position model. The record is from RNAcentral. Lineage: Bacteria; Pseudomonadati; Pseudomonadota; Gammaproteobacteria; Enterobacterales; Enterobacteriaceae.
GGGUUGUGAGGUUAAGCGACUAAGCGUACACGGUGGAUGCCCUGGCAGUCAGAGGCGAUGAAGGACGUGCUAAUCUGCGAUAAGCGUCGGUGAGGUGAUAUGAACCGUUAUAACCGGCGAUUUCCGAAUGGGGAAACCCAGUGUGUUUCGACACACUAUCAUUAACUGAAUCCAUAGGUUAAUGAGGCGAACCGGGGGAACUGAAACAUCUAAGUACCCCGAGGAAAAGAAAUCAACCGAGAUUCCCCCAGUAGCGGCGAGCGAACGGGGAGGAGCCCAGAGCCUGAAUCAGUGUGUGUGUUAGUGGAAGCGUCUGGAAAGGCGUGCGAUACAGGGUGACAGCCCCGUACACAAAAAUGCACAUAUUGUGAGCUCGAUGAGUAGGGCGGGACACGUGGUAUCCUGUCUGAAUAUGGGGGGACCAUCCUCCAAGGCUAAAUACUCCUGACUGACCGAUAGUGAACCAGUACCGUGAGGGAAAGGCGAAAAGAACCCCGGCGAGGGGAGUGAAAAAGAACCUGAAACCGUGUACGUACAAGCAGUGGGAGCCUCUUAAUGGGGUGACUGCGUACCUUUUGUAUAAUGGGUCAGCGACUUAUAUUCUGUAGCAAGGUUAACCGAAUAGGGGAGCCGAAGGGAAACCGAGUCUUAACUGGGCGUUAAGUUGCAGGGUAUAGACCCGAAACCCGGUGAUCUAGCCAUGGGCAGGUUGAAGGUUGGGUAACACUAACUGGAGGACCGAACCGACUAAUGUUGAAAAAUUAGCGGAUGACUUGUGGCUGGGGGUGAAAGGCCAAUCAAACCGGGAGAUAGCUGGUUCUCCCCGAAAGCUAUUUAGGUAGCGCCUCGUGAAUUCAUCUCCGGGGGUAGAGCACUGUUUCGGCAAGGGGGUCAUCCCGACUUACCAACCCGAUGCAAACUGCGAAUACCGGAGAAUGUUAUCACGGGAGACACACGGCGGGUGCUAACGUCCGUCGUGAAGAGGGAAACAACCCAGACCGCCAGCUAAGGUCCCAAAGUCAUGGUUAAGUGGGAAACGAUGUGGGAAGGCCCAGACAGCCAGGAUGUUGGCUUAGAAGCAGCCAUCAUUUAAAGAAAGCGUAAUAGCUCACUGGUCGAGUCGGCCUGCGCGGAAGAUGUAACGGGGCUAAACCAUGCACCGAAGCUGCGGCAGCGACACUAUGUGUUGUUGGGUAGGGGAGCGUUCUGUAAGCCUGUGAAGGUGUACUGUGAGGUAUGCUGGAGGUA